CAAGGGGGAAAGGAGUCUGAUGCAGUGAGACUGGUGAUUAAAAAACAAAGCCAAAGUUUCCUGGCUAUAGGAAUCACGGUAAAGUGUCUGGCUGCAUUUAUCAUAACCAUCUUGGUCAUUGAUGUUGUGAGGUGGCAAAAAUCCCAUCAGAAGAUAAAACCGGGUGGGCAUCGCCAGUUUUUUCUUCAAACAGACCACUGACCCAGAUGAUCAAGGUCGCUCCAUUCAUGUCCGAGUUCCUCAACCUCCAGCUGAUCCUGAUGAGGUCGACUAUGAGGAUCCAGACGGGCCCUCUGGUGUCAGACUGGGUUUGACAUCUCUACUGCUUUUAAAGUGCUCUAAUAUGCCUGGCUGUUGAUUAAUGAUGAAGCAUUCAAUUAUCAUAAAAUGUAACAACAAUCAUCCACUGAUCACCAGCAUCUCAACAUAAUGUCAUGUCAUCACUUACAGGUAUAUCUAGAUUUUAUUAGACCAUUCGAGUGUAGCAGCUACUGUCAUACCUGAAAAAAGUGUAGCCUAUGCAUCAGUGCCACUUAUCUUUAAUGCUUUAGAGCAAUGGUAGGUAGUGUAGGCCUAGUUGCUAAGGACCUGGGAAAGCAGUAGGCAGGAAAAUGUGUGGGUUCGAUUUCCGGCUACCAUGUUGUACCCUUGAGCAAGGCACUUAACACUGAGUUCCAGGGUGACUCGUAACUCAUUUAUAUUUGUAAGUUGCUUUGGAUAAAUGUGUAAGUGCAAAUGAUGUAGUGGCUACAUUUGCCCGUAAUGAUUCUUUUGACUUUCUGCAGACUGCACUAAUGCUAAAUGUAAGGUUAUUCAUUUCAUUUAAUUUCAUUGGCUUCUAUUGCAA
Molecule: long non-coding RNA, 847 nt
Organism: Alosa sapidissima (American shad)
Lineage: Eukaryota; Metazoa; Chordata; Actinopteri; Clupeiformes; Clupeidae
Exons: 4
Source: RefSeq, a predicted model, not a curated record